UCCCAGGUGGCUCAGUGGCUAAGAGGGAUGACUUUGGAGCAAAAGGUCCGGGGUUCGAACCCCUGUGCGGGCA
Molecule: non-coding RNA, 73 nt
Organism: Caenorhabditis elegans
Lineage: Eukaryota; Metazoa; Nematoda; Chromadorea; Rhabditida; Rhabditidae
Source: the annotation of a RefSeq genome assembly